Long non-coding RNA from Hyaena hyaena (striped hyena), 252 nucleotides. RefSeq lists it as uncharacterized. The transcript has 3 exons. Lineage: Eukaryota; Metazoa; Chordata; Mammalia; Carnivora; Hyaenidae. The record is from RefSeq and is a predicted model, not a curated record.
CGGGCUCCGUGAAUAUAAGGGAAGUAAGACCCUGUCUCUGUCCUAAAUGAGCUCGCUAUUCUGGAAAAGACAGAUGGGAAACAGGAAACCGUCAGGUCAUGCUCUGAUAAAUGCCAUGCUCGAGACACCAGUGGGGAUGAGAGGCAUCUAAUCUGUCCUGAGGAGAGUCAUCAAGCAAGCUUUAGUAUAAUCUUUCUCUCCAUCUGGAAAGUGGGAAUAGACCAACUAUAUUUCAAGUUUGCUAACAAAGAU